This 773-nucleotide ribosomal RNA is filed under the name uncultured bacterium. RNAcentral describes it as "bacterial SSU rRNA". It matches the Rfam family "Bacterial small subunit ribosomal RNA", at positions 1 to 916 of the family's 1533-position model. The record is from RNAcentral.
AAUUCGCUAGAGUGAUCUGCUCAGGAUGCGCUAGCUACAGGAGUCGCCGACGGUGAGUACACGUAUCACUGCUCAUACUCGGGAUAGCUUUCGAAAGAAAGAUAUAUCGAUAGUAUGAGAUGGGGAUGCGUUCCAUUAGUUUGUUGGGGGGGUAACGGCCCACCAAGACUACGAUGGAUAGGGGUUCUGAGAGGAAAGGUCCCCACAUUGGAACUGAGACACGGUCCAAACUCCUACGGGAGGCAGCAGUGAGGAAUAUUGGUCAAUGGACGCGAGUCUGAACCAGCCAAGUAGCGUGAAGGAUGACUGCCUAUGGGUUGUAAACUUCUUUUAUAUGGGAAUAUGUACCAUAUGAAUAAGGAUCGGCUAACUCCGUGCCAGCAGCCGCGGUAAUACGGAGGAUCCGAGCGUUAUCCGGAUUUAUUGGGUUUAAAGGGAGCGUAGGCGGAUUGUUAAGUCAGUUGUGAAAGUUUGCGGCUCAACCGUAAAAUUGCAGUUGAUACUGGCAGUCUUGAGUGCAGUAGAGGUGGGCGGAAUUCGUGGUGUAGCGGUGAAAUGCUUAGAUAUCACGAAGAACUCCGAUUGCGAAGGCAGCUCACUGGAGUGUAACUGACGCUGAUGCUCGAAAGUGUGGGUAUCAAACAGGAUUAGAUACCCUGGUAGUCCACACAGUAAACGAUGAAUACUCGCUGUUUGCAAGCGGCCAAGCGAAAGCAUUAAGUAUUCCACCUGGGGAGUACGCCGGCAACGGUGAAACUCAAAGGAAUUGACGG